CUCCAGUUUAAAUAGCAGAUACCACAAUGUGAUUUCUCUCUCUGCUUUGCAUAAUUAUAUGAUGAAUGUUGUGCUAGAGGCCAAUAGUUCCUGGUUCACAUGCACCAAGUUAUGCAAAUCCCAAAAACUUCCCAACACCUGAUAUGAGACAAUACAUUCCUGGUAGCAUUUUUACUAUACCUUAUACUGGCACACUUCACACUGAAAUAAAUCCAAGAGCAGAAAGAACUUGGCUGUGGAACCACAAAUUAACAAUAAUUCUUUGUCCCAGAAUUCUCCCAGAAAAUUUUUUUUUGCAGGAUUUUCUUUAUUUUUGCGCCUUAUUUACUUUCUUACAUACUCCUCUAUACAUGUGUAACAGUUUGGUUUUUUUAAUGAAGUAGAGCAUCUCUCCUACUGUAAUAAUUAAUGACUAUGAAACAGAGAAAUAUAUCUCAAGAAACAGUCUAAAGUUAACAAUACUGCUAUAAAAAGCCUACUGUAUUCAUAUAUAAUGAUUUCUACUGAACAAAUCUCAUAGGAGGUUUUAUAAAAUAACUGGAUGGGGGGGUGUCAUUAUUUUUCUUGUAGAAACCCUGUGUGUAGUUAUUUAGGUUUUCCUUUCCUCACUGUAGGGAUGCCUUCUUCUAGGAGACUUUUUCCCAGCAUUCAUUCUCAGGGCUGGGGGAGGUCUUUUAAAUGUGGCAGAGUAAAGCAGCUGCAAACCUUAAGCAGCCAUUUUGUAUCUAGCUACUGUCUGCUGUUUCAUCUUUUCCCAUUGGUAAAAGUCUGAAGUGAGAAAUAGUUGUCCCGGAAACAACACUUUUCCUGACAUGGACAGGUUGAGAACUCUGAAAAAAUCUUGAAACAGUUUCUUGCGCUUGCUCAUUCUCCUAGAUUGGACAAAGAAAAACCACACAUAUGCACAGUAAAAUAGAAAGUUCCUUCUGACUGAAUUUACUACAGAAAAAACUAUUUGACGAUCUUGUACAGGAAAUAAGAGUUAUGCUGCAUCUUUUUUUAAUUUAAGCAUUACACACAAAUCAAAUGUAUUUAUUAAAUCAGUGUAUAGUCAUUUUUACAAGGAAGUGUAAUUUAAAAACAGACAUAAAAGAUUUCCAAAGUAAUGAUACACAUCUCUUUGGACAAAUGUUAUUUCAGGGAUUUAUGAUAAUUCCUUUUCUCAAAGAAAAAUGAAACUAAUUGAAACAAACUUUGUACUUUAUAUUAAUGCCAUUUGAAUACAGUAUGCACUGCCAGUUAUAAAGUGACAUUGAAAGCUGAUGCUGUUCUCAACA
Long non-coding RNA from Gavialis gangeticus (Gharial), 1277 nucleotides. RefSeq lists it as uncharacterized. Lineage: Eukaryota; Metazoa; Chordata; Crocodylia; Gavialidae. The transcript has 4 exons. The record is from RefSeq and is a predicted model, not a curated record.